UCGAGGAUCUUCGGCAAUGGGCGCAAGCCUGACCGAGCGACGCCGCGUGUGCGAUGAAGGCCUUCGGGUUGUAAAGCACUGUCGAGGGGAAGAAAAGCUCGUAAGGGUUUGAUCGACCCCUGGAGGAAGCACGGGCUAAGUUCGUGCCAGCAGCCGCGGUAAGACGAACCGUGCGAACGUUGUUCGGAUUCACUGGGCUUAAAGGGCGCGUAGGCGGGCGGUCAAGUCAGGGGUGAAAUCUUUCAGCUCAACUGGAAAAGUGCCUCUGAUACUGAUCAUCUCGAGGGAGGUAGGGGCAUGUGGAACUUCCGGUGGAGCGGUGAAAUGCGUAGAUAUCGGAAGGAACGCCGGUGGCGAAAGCGACGUGCUGGACCUCUUCUGACGCUGAGGCGCGAAAGCUAGGGGAGCAAACGGGAUUAGAUACCCCGGUAGUCC
This 435-nucleotide ribosomal RNA is filed under the name uncultured bacterium. RNAcentral describes it as "bacterial SSU rRNA". It matches the Rfam family "Bacterial small subunit ribosomal RNA", at positions 355 to 796 of the family's 1533-position model. The record is from RNAcentral.